Long non-coding RNA from Serinus canaria (Common canary), 2632 nucleotides. RefSeq lists it as uncharacterized. The record is from RefSeq and is a predicted model, not a curated record. Lineage: Eukaryota; Metazoa; Chordata; Aves; Passeriformes; Fringillidae. The transcript is spliced from 3 exons.
AAAAUUCACACCUGGAGGCUCCAGAGGCCAUUUUUUAUUUAUUCACCUGCCCAGGUGUGUGGGGACACCUGAGCUGCUAAAGAGGGGGGAGGGGCCAGGUGAGAGCGGCCAGGUGAGAGGUUCAGGUAAGGAUUCCAAGUGAGGAUUCCAGGUGAGGUUCAGAUGAGGAUCCAGGUGAGGAUUCCAGGUGAGAGGUUCAGGUGAGGAUUCCAGGUGAGAGCAGCCAGGUGAGCGUGGCCAGGUAAGGAUUCCAGGUGAGAGGUCCCAGGUGAAGUUCAGGUGAGGAUUGCAGGUGAGAGCAGCCAGGUAACGAUCCAGGUAAGGAUCCAGGUGAAGAUUCCAGGUGAGAGGUUCAGGUAAGAGAUUCCAGGUGAGGGAUUCCAGGUGAGAGGAGCCAGGUGAGAUUCCAGAUGAGGUUCAGGUGCAGAUUCCAGGUGAGAGCAGCUAGGUGAGAGGUUCAGGUGAGGGAUUCCACAUGGGGAUUCCAGGUGAGGAUUCAGGUGAGAUGUUCAGGUGAGAGCAGCCAGGUGAGAGAUUUCAGGUGAGGAUUCCGGGUGAGGGUUGCAGGUGAGGGCGGCCAGGUGAGAGAUUCAGGUGGAGAUUGCAGGUGAGAGCAGCCAGGUGAGGAUUCCUGGUGAGAGCAGCCAGGUGAGAGUGACCAGGUAAAGUUCAGGUGAGGAUUCCAGGUGAGGAUUCCAGGUAAAGUUCAGGUGAGGAUUCCAGGUGAAGUUCAGGUAAGGAUUCCAGGUGAGCAUGGCCAGGUGAGGUUCAGGUGAGGAUUCCAGGUGAGAGAUCCCAGGUGAAAUCCCAGGUGAGAGCGGCCAGGUGAGGGUUUUCAGGUGAGGAUUCCAGGUGAGAGAUCCCAGGUGAGAUUUCCAGGUGAGAGCAGCCAGGUGAAGUUCAGGUGAGAGAUUCAGGUGCAGAUUCCAGGUGAGAGCAGCCAGGUGAGAGGUUCAGGUGAGGAUCCAGGUGAGGAUUCCAGGUGAGGUUCAGGUGAGGAUUCCAGGUGAGGGUGACCAGGUGAGGAUUCAGGUGAGAUGUUCAGGUGAGAGCAGCCAGGUGAGAGAUUUCAGGUGAGGAUUCCGGGUGAGGGUUGCAGGUGAGGGCGGCCAGGUGAGAUUGCAGGUGAGAGGUUCAGGUGCAGAUUCCAGGUGAGAGGUUCAGGUGAGGAUUCCAGGUGAGGGUGACCCGGUGAGGAUUCAGGUGAGAUGUUCAGGUGAGAGCAGCCAGGUGAGAUUCCAGGUGAGGUUCAGGUGACAAAUUCCAGGUGAGGGCAGCCAGGUGAGGAUUCCAGGUGAAGUUCAGGUGAGAGAUUCCAGGUGAAAGAUUCCAGGUGAGAGCAGCCAGGUGAGAGGUUCAGGUGAAAGAUUCCAGGUGAGGGCGGCCAGGUGAGGAUUCAGGUGAGAGCAGCCAGGUGAGAGUGGCCAGGUAAAGUUCAGGCCAGGAGAUUCAGGUGAGGAUUCCAGGUGAGAGAUCCCAGGUGAGAUUUCCAGGUGAGAGCAGCCAGGUGAAGUUCAGGUAAGGAGUCCAGGUGAGGUUCAGGUGAGAGAUUCAGGUGAGGUUCAGGUGAGGUUCAAGAUGAGAGCAGCCAGGUGAGGUUCAGGUGAGGACUCCAGGUGAGAGCGGCCAGGUGAGAGUGGCCAGGUGAGAAGUUCAGGUAAGAGAUCCCAGGUGAGAGCAGCCAGGUGAGCUUUGCCAGGUGCGGAUUCCAGGUGAGAGUGGCCAGGUGAGCGUGGCCAGGUGAAGUUCAGGUGAGAGAUUUCAGGCGAAAGAUUCCAGGUGAGAGCAGCCAGGUGAGAAUGGUCAGGUAAAGUUCAGGUGAGGAUUCCAGGUGAGGGAUCCCAGGUGAGAUUUCCAGGUGAGAGCAGCCAGGUGAAGUUCAGGUGAGGACUCCAGGUGAGAGCGGCCAGGUGAGAGGUUCAGGUGAGAGAUUCCACAUGGGGAUUCCAGGUGAGAGCAGCCAGGUGAAGUUCAGGUGAGGACUCCAGGUGAGAGCGGCCAGGUGAGAGGUUCAGGUGAGAGAUUCCACAUGGGGAUUCCAGGUGAGAGCAGCCAGGUGAGCGUUGCCAGGUGCGGAUUCCAGGUGAGAGUGGCCAGGUGAGCGUGGCCAGGUGAAGUUCAGGUGCGAGAUUCAGGUGAGGAUUCCAGGUGAGAGAUCCCAGAUGAAGUUCAGGUGAGAGCAGCCAGGUGAGAUUCCAGGUGAGGUUCAGGUGAAAGAUUCCAGGUGAGGGCAGCCAGGUGAGAGGUUCAGGUGAGAGAUUCCAGGUGAGGGUGACCAGGUGAGGAUUCAGGUGAGAGCAGCCAGGUGAGAGUGGCCAGGUGAAGUUCAGGUGAGGACUCCAGGUGAGAGAUCCCAGGUGAGAUUUCCAGGUGAGAGCAGCCAGGUGAAGUUCAGGUGAGGACUCCAGGUGAGAGCGGCCAGGUGAGAGGUUCAGGUGAGGGAUUCCAGGUGAGGUUCAGGUGAGGAUUUGCAGGUGAGAGUGGCCAGGUGAGGAGCCAGGUGAGGGAUUCCAGGUGAGAGUGGCCAGGUGAGAGGUUCCAGUCCCCAGCUGAGCCCCACCAGGUGAGUUCCAGGUGAGCCCCACCAGGUGAGUUCCAGCUGAACUCCACCAGGUGAGUUCCAGCUGAACUC